RNAcentral lists this ribosomal RNA (405 nucleotides) under uncultured bacterium. Its description in RNAcentral is "bacterial SSU rRNA". It matches the Rfam family "Bacterial small subunit ribosomal RNA", at positions 355 to 776 of the family's 1533-position model. The record is from RNAcentral.
UUAGGAAUCUUGCGCAAUGGGAGAAAUCCUGACGCAGCAAUGCCGCGUGAGGGACGAAGGCCUUCGGGUUGUAAACCUCUUUUAGUUGGGAAGAUUCAAGACGGUACCAACAGAAAAAGCACCGGCUAACCCUGUGCCAGCAGCCGCGGUGAUACAGGGGGUGCUAGCGUUAUUCGGAAUUACUGGGCGUAAAGCGUGCGCGGGCUGUUUAGCAAGUCUGAUGUGAAAGCCUUCAUCUCAAGUGAAGAAGUGCAUCAGAUACUACUAGACUAGAGUGCAGGAGGGAGGAGCGGAAUUCCAGGUGUAGAAGUGAAAUUCGUAGAUAUCUGGAGGAACAACGGUAGCGAAGGCGGCUCCUUGGACUGUUACUGACGCUGAGGCACGAAAGCGUGGGGAGCAAACAGG